This 26-nucleotide non-coding RNA is filed under the name Homo sapiens (human). The record is from RNAcentral. Lineage: Eukaryota; Metazoa; Chordata; Mammalia; Primates; Hominidae.
AGAGUGUGCUGAGGACAGAUGGCGGA